CAGCAGCCGCGGUAAUACGAAGGGUGCAAGCGUUACUCGGAAUUACUGGGCGUAAAGCGUGCGUAGGUGGUGGUUUAAGUCCGUUGUGAAAGCCCUGGGCUCAACCUGGGAAUUGCAGUGGAUACUGGGUCACUAGAGUGUGGUAGAGGAUAGUGGAAUUUCCGGUGUAGCAGUGAAAUGCGUAGAGAUCGGAAGGAACAUCUGUGGCGAAGGCGACUAUCUGGGCCAACACUGACACUGAGGCACGAAAGCGUGGGGAGCAAACAGGAUUAAAUACCCCCGUAGUCCCUGUCUCUUAUAC
This 301-nucleotide ribosomal RNA is filed under the name uncultured bacterium. Its description in RNAcentral is "partial 16S ribosomal RNA". It matches the Rfam family "Bacterial small subunit ribosomal RNA", at positions 509 to 807 of the family's 1533-position model. The record is from RNAcentral.